RNAcentral lists this transfer RNA (75 nucleotides) under Mus musculus (house mouse). RNAcentral describes it as "tRNA-Ala". The record is from RNAcentral. Lineage: Eukaryota; Metazoa; Chordata; Mammalia; Rodentia; Muridae.
GGCUGGAGAGAUGGCUCAGCGGUUAAGAGCACUGGCAGCUCUUCCAGAGGUCCUGAGUUCAAUUCCCAGCAGCCA